Molecule: ribosomal RNA, 781 nt
Filed under: Pseudoalteromonas sp.
Lineage: Bacteria; Pseudomonadati; Pseudomonadota; Gammaproteobacteria; Alteromonadales; Pseudoalteromonadaceae
Description: bacterial SSU rRNA
Rfam family: Bacterial small subunit ribosomal RNA
Source: RNAcentral
AGCUUGCUACUUUGCUGACGAGCGGCGGACGGGUGAGUAAUGCUUGGGAACAUGCCUUGAGGUGGGGGACAACAGUUGGAAACGACUGCUAAUACCGCAUAAUGUCUACGGACCAAAGGGGGCUUCGGCUCUCGCCUUUAGAUUGGCCCAAGUGGGAUUAGCUAGUUGGUGAGGUAAUGGCUCACCAAGGCGACGAUCCCUAGCUGGUUUGAGAGGAUGAUCAGCCACACUGGGACUGAGACACGGCCCAGACUCCUACGGGAGGCAGCAGUGGGGAAUAUUGCACAAUGGGCGCAAGCCUGAUGCAGCCAUGCCGCGUGUGUGAAGAAGGCCUUCGGGUUGUAAAGCACUUUCAGUCAGGAGGAAAGGUUAACGGUUAAUACCCGUUAGCUGUGACGUUACUGACAGAAGAAGCACCGGCUAACUCCGUGCCAGCAGCCGCGGUAAUACGGAGGGUGCGAGCGUUAAUCGGAAUUACUGGGCGUAAAGCGUACGCAGGCGGUUUGUUAAGCGAGAUGUGAAAGCCCCGGGCUCAACCUGGGAACUGCAUUUCGAACUGGCAAACUAGAGUGUGAUAGAGGGUGGUAGAAUUUCAGGUGUAGCGGUGAAAUGCGUAGAGAUCUGAAGGAAUACCGAUGGCGAAGGCAGCCACCUGGGUCAACACUGACGCUCAUGUACGAAAGCGUGGGGAGCAAACGGGAUUAGAUACCCCGGUAGUCCACGCCGUAAACGAUGUCUACUAGAAGCUCGGAGCCUCGGUUCUGUUUUUCAAAGCUAACGC